GCCUGGAUAGCUCAGCUGGUUAGAGCGUGGUGCUGAUAACGCCAAGGCUGGAAGUUCGAUCCCCAUACAGGACA
This is a non-coding RNA of Podarcis lilfordi (Lilford's wall lizard), 74 nucleotides long. NCBI's taxonomy places the organism in Eukaryota, Metazoa, Chordata, Lepidosauria, Squamata, Lacertidae. The record is from the annotation of a GenBank genome assembly.